This is a non-coding RNA of Meleagris gallopavo (turkey), 842 nucleotides long. The record is from RefSeq and is a predicted model, not a curated record. NCBI's taxonomy places the organism in Eukaryota, Metazoa, Chordata, Aves, Galliformes, Phasianidae.
AGUACUUGGUUUUAUUUCUCCUUAACAGCACCAGGAAGGGAGCUGGACAGGGAGCCGUUCCCUGUUGUGAAAGUCUUUUGCCCAGAUUUGGGUUGCUUGUGCUGUGCUUGGGCUGAUGGUGACCUCGUGGAGUUCACCGUCUCCUUUGGGACCUGGCUGCAGCCCUCAGCAUCUCCCAGCACUGUCCUUGCUUUCCAGAACGGCGCCUACGAGCCCAGCAGGAUUAUUGAUUCAACGCGCUGAUUCUGUCCUGUGUGAACCCAUCUCCUGGAUGACAGCACCAGGCUUCUCAUGGGACCUUGGUGUGAGCUCAAAAUGUAACGCAGCCCUGGACAGUGCCUGGUUAAACCCGUUAUUUGGAAUACCCAACUUCCAGACAUCUGUCUCCAGAAGAAAGAAAGGGAAAAUGUUUUUGCUAUGAAGAUUAACUUCGUGUAAUUGCCAAUAGGGCUCCAGUAAAGCUAUGGAGAAGUUGAAGCAAGCACACACAUGAGAUGAUACAGAUGUAAAUGAACGAGCCAAAAGUGUUUGAAUAGACUGAGGAACAGUGGUGUGCUUUUUUUUUUUUUUUAAGUGCCUUGAGUAUUGUUACUCAGUGCAUGGACUGAGAGGAAAACCCUGAGAAUGGAAGGUUCUUUUUUUGAGCACGUGGGUGUAGUGAAUGCUGACACUGGCAUAUGACCAAAGAUAUGCAAGAUGUAGAUCUCUGGGGCAGGAGAAGAAAGAGUGGAGUAGAAAAGAAUUGGUGGUGGUGGAGACUGGGGCUACAGCUGGGGCUUCGUUUGUUACUGAUGAGAAGAGGAGAGAUGUAGGCUGUGAUGGGGCUGGAGGACUGCACCAGG